UGUGUCGGCCGCGGUACCAAGACCACGAGCGCCAGUGACCAAUAUUCCCUCGAGGUCCUCGAGCGCCAUGAUUGUAACAAGCUGUAGCAUCGUCGUCACGGUCUGUACCGGAUAUUACAUUUGUAAUAGAAGUGUGUAAGUUGUGGGUAUUCUUUAGGGAAUCAUUCGAGAGAAAUGCAGUUUCCUCAUAUUUUGAAAAAAAUACGGUGUUCGUGAUAUUAUUCCACUGUUGCAAGUUCUAGUUGGGAUUCUUCUAAACUGAGCAGCGCCCAUUCUGAGGGUCAUGUUUCUAGUAGAAUGCAUAUUUAUGCCCUUUCUCGCCUGUUACACAUACCAAUCCGACAUCUAAAGGAAGUAGUGAGAGCUGAUCGUCUAUGACUUGGGCAAAUAUUCAGAGCCAUGUACUGGUACACUAGGAUUUUUGUAAAUCAGUUCAUAUGCCACCCACAAAGCAGCACUUGUGAUAAAAUAAAGUUUCAAGGUUAUGGAAGAUUCUGCAUUCUCUUACAACAGGAAUGCUGAGAAUUCUGCUACAGAGAGCUGAAGAAACAUUUCGUGCUGUGACAGAAAGGAUGAACUGUACAAAUUCAGAGAAGGUUUUAGUGGGUCCACAU
Molecule: long non-coding RNA, 614 nt
Organism: Cryptotermes secundus
Lineage: Eukaryota; Metazoa; Arthropoda; Insecta; Blattodea; Kalotermitidae
Exons: 3
Source: RefSeq, a predicted model, not a curated record